RNAcentral lists this ribosomal RNA (254 nucleotides) under uncultured bacterium. Its description in RNAcentral is "partial 16S ribosomal RNA". It matches the Rfam family "Bacterial small subunit ribosomal RNA", at positions 524 to 776 of the family's 1533-position model. The record is from RNAcentral.
UACGUAGGGUGCAAGCGUUAAUCGGAAUUACUGGGCGUAAAGCGUGCGCAGGCGGUUAUGCAAGACAGAGGUGAAAUCCCCGGGCUCAACCUGGGAACUGCAUUUGUGACUGCAUAGCUAGAGUACGGUAGAGGGGGAUGGAAUUCCGCGUGUAGCAGUGAAAUGCGUAGAUAUGCGGAGGAACACCGAUGGCGAAGGCAAUCCCCUGGACCUGUACUGACGCUCAUGCACGAAAAGCGUGGGGAGCAAACAGG